This 400-nucleotide ribosomal RNA is filed under the name uncultured bacterium. RNAcentral's name for it is "partial 16S ribosomal RNA". It matches the Rfam family "Bacterial small subunit ribosomal RNA", at positions 29 to 526 of the family's 1533-position model. The record is from RNAcentral.
AGUGAACGCUGGCGGCGUGCCUAAUACAUGCAAGUCGAACGAGUGGGCACGGGUGAGUAAUGUAUAGCUAAUCUCCCUACACUAGAGACAACAGUUGGAAACGACUGCUAAACCGAUACUGAUGGAUGGACCCGCGGUGCAUUAGCUAGUUGGUGAGGUAACGGCUCACCAAGGCCACGAUGCAUAGCCGACCUGAGAGGGUGAUCGCCGACACUGGGACUGAGACACGGCCCAGACUCCUACGGGAGGCAGCAGUAGGGAAUAUUGCUCAAUGGGGGAAACCCUGAAGCAGCAACGCCGCGUGGAGGAUGACACUUUUCGGAGCGUAAACUCCUUUUGUUAGGGAAGGUACCUAACGAAUAAGCACCGGCUAACUCCGUGCCAGCAGCCGCGGUAAUAC